ACUUAAAUUGAAGAGUUUGAUCAUGGCUCAGAUUGAACGCUGGCGGCAGGCCUAACACAUGCAAGUCGAGCGGUAGCACAGAGAGCUUGCUCUCGGGUGACGAGCGGCGGACGGGUGAGUAAUGUCUGGGAAACUGCCUGAUGGAGGGGGAUAACUACUGGAAACGGUAGCUAAUACCGCAUAAUGUCGCAAGACCAAAGUGGGGGACCUUCGGGCCUCAUGCCAUCAGAUGUGCCCAGAUGGGAUUAGCUAGUAGGUGGGGUAACGGCUCACCUAGGCGACGAUCCCUAGCUGGUCUGAGAGGAUGACCAGCCACACUGGAACUGAGACACGGUCCAGACUCCUACGGGAGGCAGCAGUGGGGAAUAUUGCACAAUGGGCGCAAGCCUGAUGCAGCCAUGCCGCGUGUGUGAAGAAGGCCUUCGGGUUGUAAAGCACUUUCAGCGGGGAGGAAGGCGUUAAGGUUAAUAACCUUGGCGAUUGACGUUACCCGCAGAAGAAGCACCGGCUAACUCCGUGCCAGCAGCCGCGGUAAUACGGAGGGUGCAAGCGUUAAUCGGAAUUACUGGGCGUAAAGCGCACGCAGGCGGUCUGUCAAGUCGGAUGUGAAAUCCCCGGGCUCAACCUGGGAACUGCAUUCGAAACUGGCAGGCUAGAGUCUUGUAGAGGGGGGUAGAAUUCCAGGUGUAGCGGUGAAAUGCGUAGAGAUCUGGAGGAAUACCGGUGGCGAAGGCGGCCCCCUGGACAAAGACUGACGCUCAGGUGCGAAAGCGUGGGGAGCAAACAGGAUUAGAUACCCUGGUAGUCCACGCCGUAAACGAUGUCGAUUUGGAGGUUGUGCCCUUGAGGCGUGGCUUCCGGAGCUAACGCGUUAAAUCGACCGCCUGGGGAGUACGGCCGCAAGGUUAAAACUCAAAUGAAUUGACGGGGGCCCGCACAAGCGGUGGAGCAUGUGGUUUAAUUCGAUGCAACGCGAAGAACCUUACCUGGUCUUGACAUCCACAGAACUUUCCAGAGAUGGAUUGGUGCCUUCGGGAACUGUGAGACAGGUGCUGCAUGGCUGUCGUCAGCUCGUGUUGUGAAAUGUUGGGUUAAGUCCCGCAACGAGCGCAACCCUUAUCCUUUGUUGCCAGCGGU
This 1137-nucleotide ribosomal RNA is filed under the name Klebsiella pneumoniae. RNAcentral's name for it is "bacterial SSU rRNA". It matches the Rfam family "Bacterial small subunit ribosomal RNA", at positions 1 to 1125 of the family's 1533-position model. RNAcentral also lists the same sequence under 1 other name. The record is from RNAcentral. Lineage: Bacteria; Pseudomonadati; Pseudomonadota; Gammaproteobacteria; Enterobacterales; Enterobacteriaceae.